GAUCCUGGCUCAGGAUGAACGCUAGCUACAGGCUUAACACAUGCAAGUCGAGGGGCAGCAUGUUGGUUGCUUGCAACCGAUGAUGGCGACCGGCGCACGGGUGAGUAACGCGUAUCCAACCUACCCCUUGUCCAUCGGAUAACCCGUCGAAAGGCGGCCUAACACGAUAUGCGGUUCACAGCAGGCAUCUAACGUGAACGAAAUGUAAGAGGAAGAG
This 217-nucleotide ribosomal RNA is filed under the name uncultured bacterium. RNAcentral describes it as "partial 16S ribosomal RNA". It matches the Rfam family "Bacterial small subunit ribosomal RNA", at positions 15 to 223 of the family's 1533-position model. The record is from RNAcentral.